Molecule: ribosomal RNA, 253 nt
Filed under: uncultured bacterium
Lineage: Bacteria
Description: partial 16S ribosomal RNA
Rfam family: Bacterial small subunit ribosomal RNA
Source: RNAcentral
UACGAACCGUGCGAACGUUGUUCGGAUUCACUGGGCUUAAAGGGCGCGUAGGCGGACCAUCAAGUCGGGGGUGAAAUCUUUCAGCUUAACUGGAAACGUGCCUCUGAUACUGGUGGUCUCGAGGGAGGCAGGGGCAUGCGGAACUUCCGGUGGAGCGGUGAAAUGCGUAGAUAUCGGAAGGAACGCCGGUGGCGAAAGCGGCGUGCUGGACCUCUUCUGACGCUGAGGCGCGAAAGCUAGGGGAGCGAACGGG